UCCUAUUCUCCUUUUUAUUUUUCUUCUCCUCCUCUAACCCAUUCCUUACCCAUGACCCUUCUUCCCUUCUCCUUUUCCUCAUCCAUUUCUUCUUUUUAUCUUCUUCCUCCUCCAAACCUAUCCAUGAACAAAGGGUAUUUUUGUCCAUUGAGAGAAAAAUCUAACACCAUUUAUUGAUAAAAUAAAUGGCUAGACCACAUCAAAAUAUAUCAAUAAGUAGAAAGAUCG
This 228-nucleotide long non-coding RNA is filed under the name Elaeis guineensis (African oil palm). Its description in RNAcentral is "long non-coding RNA (EGUI_LNC032514)". The record is from RNAcentral. Lineage: Eukaryota; Viridiplantae; Streptophyta; Magnoliopsida; Arecales; Arecaceae.